GCUGACGCCGGCUCCUAUAACAACUCCUCAGUCAAAUAAGUGGUGUGUCCUCUGCUAUGGAGGUGUUAUUGUUUGUUUCUGUGAUCUUGGUGUGUGGUAUUUUUUGUCUGCUAUUGUUUUUUGUUGUGACUUGUUUUAGUGAGAAACAAGAUCAAGUGACAUGAGAUUCAGGGGAUGCUAAUUAAGUAAUGAAAUUAAUCACUUAAGAGGUGUUUUUUGUGUGAUUGUUGGAUCUAAAAUUAUGCAAUGGUUGACCAAGAAACUACAACUUUGUCCAGGGUUCAAGGAAAGAGUAAUCCAUAUGAUUCCUCCCUUGCUGCACAACUUUGCAUUCCAAUCAUAAAUGACCUACUGGUUGAGAUAAAAAACCAAAGCUACCAUGAACAAUGUUUUUUGAAUAUAGAUGUGCCAAACAAUGUUACUAACCAUAAGAUGUGUUGUUGAAAGCUUACCUUUUGAGAUCAAUGAUCUACCAAAUGUUUGCUCCAUGGUUGACCCUUAUUCUGAUAGUUUGAAGGAUGCAGAUGCAGAUGCAGUGGUACCAAUUGCAAAGCACAAGUCAAUUUUGGUUUUGGUUAUUAUAAUUUGUUCAUACAUUUGGUUUUUCCUUUUUUAUGGCUUUGAAAUGUACAUUGUUGUUUGACCUCUUGAUUAAAUGUAUCUUUAGAGUGCUGAAUCAAUACUAUCAUUGAUGCUAAUGAAGAGGUUUUUAAAUCAUUACAGGUUCAUGUUGAUGUGAUGCAGUGAGCUAGCUACAAGAAAAGGUAAGGAGUCUACUGCUUUGCUUCUUUGAAAAAUGAAGUUUAAAGAAAGAAUUAUUAAAAUACUAUUGUCCUUAUUUCAAAACUUUGAAUUUUUUUUAAAAAAAUUAUUAUUAUGAUUCUGUUAGUACCUUUCUGGGAAAACAAACUGAACUAGGAAUGUUAAGCCUUCCAAGUUGAAAGCAUGAAAGUUCAAGAAAAGCUUUUUCAGAGGUCUGCAACUUAUGUUAUGUUAUUGUUAUAUUAAGUUGUAUAGGAAGUUGGAAAUAGAACCAUGGCUCAAGAGAAUGAUGGCUGCCAAGUUUCCACAUUGAAUGACUUGCUUUUAUUUUGAAAAUUUGGAUUGAUUUAAUUUCUUAUAGAAAUUUUUGUUGGAGCAAGAAAUGAUGCUUCUGGAGUUUAUGCACUUGCUUUUAUGAGGUGUAUGAUUAAUGUUUGUUCUUGAAAUGUAAUUUAUAGAUAGAUACCAUAAGAACUGGAAUUGGCACUUUGGAAGCAAGAGUAUUAGUUAUUUUUUA
Trifolium pratense (red clover) is the source of this 1279-nucleotide long non-coding RNA. RefSeq lists it as uncharacterized. NCBI's taxonomy places the organism in Eukaryota, Viridiplantae, Streptophyta, Magnoliopsida, Fabales, Fabaceae. The transcript has 2 exons. The record is from RefSeq and is a predicted model, not a curated record.